CGCCUGCUGUCCCAGUUGCGUUACGUGCCAUGCUACGACCAAUUUCUGGUCAGACACUGACGGUCCCACCAUCCUAAUCAAAUAUGCAUCUGCCCCAAGAAAUUACGCAGUACAUGACUUGCUUUGCCUUCUAAAUUUGGUCAUAGUUUUGACAGUGCCCUCCAUGGAUACUAUUGCGCUUUCUUUCACUGCCUCCUUCCAAGUGAUCUGCUUCCAUUCAUUCUCUAACUACAAUCUUCACCAUCCGCUAGUAGUUGAUGAAGCUGCCAACAGUGUGACAGAUUUUGCCUACGACUAACGGUUUUCAUCUGCUCUAGUAAGGAAUGGCAUUUGGACAAAGCCUGUCUUUAAUUUCUUCCAUGGAACACAAAGCUUUUGUCUUUCCCUUUGUUGAUCAGCAUUUACAUAAGUUCUGAUUAAGGGCCAUAACAGAGGUGCAGUCCCGCGCUCAUCACUGGAAUUUCUACAGCUGACAUUUACUUCUUUUCUCACACUUUUGCUUGUGGAGGAGGGAGGGAGGGGGAGAGAGAGAGAGAGAGUUGAAGAAGGAUCUCCUUUGCAAGCUGUUUUGUGCAUGCGAUAGGUAGCUGUACCGUACGUGAACAAAAGAUGAUCCUUUACAAGGUCUUUAAAAGUUCACAAAGAAAUUGCUUUCACAUAUUAAGCAAAAUCUCAUUUUCAAAAAAAAAAUUUAGCAAGGUGUGAUCAUCAAAACCCAAAUACGGAAAACUUGCUUCUUUUCUGCUGAGUAAAUUGAUUAGUUUCCUUACUGUAGUUGUCCAUAAGCACUUUACGGGAAAAGAAACCUUAGGUACCAGAAAAUAGAAAUGGAAACACUUUAUACACUAAAAGGUCAAAUUCAUUAGAGUUAGCUGUAACCAUUUGUAACAGUUAAACUUCAGCUCGUGCCUUUGCCUUGAUGUCUUGCCCGGUCAAAGAUAAUCGUCUAAUAUGGGAUAGAGGACACACAAAAGGAAUUGGGAAUAGCUUUAUAACUCAAUGGAACGCGUGAAUAUUGUUAAGGAAAGUCAAAAGGAAGCAAAAGUUCCUCCAAUUUUAAGGGUGUAGAUAAUCUGCUGAAAUUUUAAAAGUAACCUCUUUUUUAAAAAAGAAAAAUUCUAAUGUCAAGCUUCUUUCUAACUGUUCUCAUGUAUAGACUUGUCUAUUAGUGGGGAGCCAUGUGUUGUCUUUUUUGGUACAUGAUAAAUAGUUGCUUUGGCUGGGUGCUUCAUUUUUAGUCUGCUUCCAUGAUCCUUUUCUGUUGCGGAGCAUAAAUUCCUAACUGAAUGGACAAAUCAAAGAAAGUAAUGUGACUACAUGCAGUAUUAAGAUUCUGUGCUUAGAAGAGCCAGAGGAUACAGCACCACGAAGAGGAAAUCUGGCAAGAAGCAGGAGGGAGCUUUUUAGUCUUUCAUCUUCAAAAAAUUGUUUAUGGUUGAAGUUCAUAAUCGGCUCAGGUAACUUGCAAACAAAACAAUACUAAGGACAAAUCUAUAUUCUAGAAAGUUCUUAUAAAUGGCACAGAUUAUAUCACAUCAUUGCCGUUCUCGCACUAUGAUACGAAUUAUGUUUCUCUGAAUUUGUACUGAAAUGAUGUAUAUAUAAAUGAUUUCUUAUGUGUAAUAAAUAAUUCAUAAUAAAAUUGCUAUCACUCUCUUCAGGUGUCUCUUCCUAUAAUAUUUGAGAAAGAAUGGAAAAUGCAAAAAAAGAGAGAAAACUAGAGAAGGAAAGAUCAAAAGGAAUCUGGAAAUGAACAUUUCACAGAAAUUGACUAGCAUCUGUUUUCUCUGGAGAGAUUCAGUGCUUUUUGCCGCUUUUUGAUUUCACCAGAUGAGGGAAGACACUCAAAAUGUUGUGGGCUCUCAAGUCUUGCCUGGUCAAUAUUCCCACCACCGGAGAUACCUGCAAAAGGAGCAUGGUAUGAUGUUAGUAAUGCUUUUAUCACUUCUACUGUAAAAUAGCUUUUCCACCUAGACUCUUCCUUAACAAGCUCUGAUGUUACCAUAUGACUUUUUCUGUGUAUCGUUAGCCUAUGAUAGGAGGAAGAUAUUUGCAUAAGAUUAAUAAUUGAAAUAUGCUUAUAAGCUCACCCCUGCUGCUUGGUAUUUGGGUAGGAUGAGCAUGUGGCGGAGCCCCACCUGCCUGAAGAGAACCAUUGCCUUAGCCACUGACAUGCUUUCUACCACAGUAUAAGGGGUUGUGUUAGUCAGGGGAUGCAAGUCAACAUACAUCUCCAUUUCAUCCUUUGUAACUGCCACAUCUUCAAUCUUACCCCACCUCUCAGCUAAAUCAAUCCAGGUGAAUUUCUCUCUCACUUCCCACUCCUCUGUCCUCCGUUUUUCAUGAAGGAACAACUUUUUCUUGAGAACCAGAAGAAGGUGAGUUCUUAGGACAAGACCGUGCAAUUCAGUUGCCCCAACUGGAAGCCCCACUGGUGGUACCACCCCUUCAUCUACGACUGGGAAUCCAUUAUGCGUGGUGUUCUUCAGGACCUCCACGAUACGUCCCACCUUCUCAAUUCCACGAAGUGUAACUACUGGUGGCUUUACAUCAGCAAGUUCACCAACAGUGAUAUUUCUCAUCCAUGGCUCAGGGUUGGCAUCCAGGAAAGGCAGACCUUUCAGUUCCAAUAUUAUUUCAUAAAUACUUAGGUUGAAGCAGUCUCCUACACUUUUAGAAAUUAGAAGAACAAGCAUUGUUAUUGGCAGAAGGAGAAGAUUGUUUGUCAGCUCAAGAAAUAUGACACAAAGAGAAACAGUCAUUCUCAUUGAACCAGCCAUAAGGGAAGCUGCUCCGAGAACGGCAUACAACCCUGGAUCAAUUUUUGUGUAAGGUCCCAUGGCAAUGGCAAGCAAGCGACCAUAAGCUGAACCCAUGAGGAUGAUUGGAAGGAAGAGACCAGAUGGCACAGCAAUCCCAAAAGUGAUGAGUCCCAAGAUGCAAUACAGUGCAAAGUAGAUAAUAAGAGAUGAAACAUGGAAUUCGCCGGGAGUGUUUACGGAGAAAAUAUUUCGGACUGCAUCAUCAUUGGUUGUAAGGAGAAGAGUAGCGAGAUCAUUGUAAUAGCCGUUGGGGCAGUUGAAUUGCUUAAAGUUUCCUGUCCCUCCAGUGCCAGGACAGGACCCUUGAAGUGAUGGAUCACAAGGCUUGCAUUUGGCCAAAAAAGGAAGUCCAUACAUACUAAUGGAGGUGAAAAGGGAAACGCUCAGCGCGAGAAGCAGCUUAUGUAGUUUUCCCUUCCUGCAAGAUAAAAAAUUAUCAAUGUUUAAAAGUUAGGAUUUGGCAUCUAUACAGUUCUUUUUUGGCAGUUAAAUGUGAUAGGAAGACCAUGUUUGAAUAGUCUCAAGAUGGAACAAAGUCUCAAGAUGAUUCUGAUCCCAGUAAGUUCAUUUUUUGUGGA
This is a long non-coding RNA of Lycium barbarum (goji berry), 3400 nucleotides long. RefSeq lists it as uncharacterized. The transcript is spliced from 3 exons. The record is from RefSeq and is a predicted model, not a curated record. Lineage: Eukaryota; Viridiplantae; Streptophyta; Magnoliopsida; Solanales; Solanaceae.